RNAcentral lists this ribosomal RNA (491 nucleotides) under uncultured soil bacterium. RNAcentral's name for it is "bacterial SSU rRNA". It matches the Rfam family "Bacterial small subunit ribosomal RNA", at positions 26 to 520 of the family's 1533-position model. The record is from RNAcentral.
AGAUUGAACGCUGGCGGCAUGCCUUACACAUGCAAGUCGAACGGUAACGCGGGGCAACCUGGCGACGAGUGGCGAACGGGUGAGUAAUAUAUCGGAACGUGCCCAGUAGUGGGGGAUAGCCCGGCGAAAGCCGGAUUAAUACCGCAUACGACCUACGGGUGAAAGGGGGGGAUCGCAAGACCUCUCGCUAUUGGAGCGGCCGAUAUCAGAUUAGCUAGUUGGUGGGGUAAAAGCCUACCAAGGCGACGAUCUGUAGCUGGUCUGAGAGGACGACCAGCCACACUGGGACUGAGACACGGCCCAGACUCCUACGGGAGGCAGCAGUGGGGAAUUUUGGACAAUGGGCGCAAGCCUGAUCCAGCCAUGCCGCGUGCGGAAGAAGGCCUUCGGGUUGUAAACCGCUUUGUCAGGAAGAAAUCUUGGCUAAGUACCCGGGGAGUGACGGUACCUGAAGAAUAAGACACCGGCUAACUACGUGCCAGCAGCCGCGU